CGUACGCAAUCUACCCAGAACUGGUGAAUAGCCCUCCGAAAGGAGGAUUAAUACACCGUAACAUAAUGAAGUGGCAUCACUUUAUUAUUAUAGCUCCGGCGGUUUUGGAUGAGCGUGCGGCUGAUUAGAUAGUUGGCGGGGUAACGGCCCACCAAGUCUGCGAUCAGUAACUGGUGUGAGAGCACGACCAGUCACACGGGCACUGAGACACGGGCCCG
RNAcentral lists this ribosomal RNA (218 nucleotides) under uncultured bacterium. RNAcentral's name for it is "partial 16S ribosomal RNA". It matches the Rfam family "Bacterial small subunit ribosomal RNA", at positions 116 to 334 of the family's 1533-position model. The record is from RNAcentral.